GUGCCUAGGAAUGGGAAUCGAACCCACAGUGUUCCGCUUACCGGGCAGAUGCCAUGUCCACUAGGUUACCAUGAACA
This 77-nucleotide transfer RNA is filed under the name Cordylochernes scorpioides. Its description in RNAcentral is "tRNA-Thr". The record is from RNAcentral. Lineage: Eukaryota; Metazoa; Arthropoda; Arachnida; Pseudoscorpiones; Chernetidae.